This 253-nucleotide ribosomal RNA is filed under the name uncultured bacterium. RNAcentral's name for it is "partial 16S ribosomal RNA". It matches the Rfam family "Bacterial small subunit ribosomal RNA", at positions 524 to 776 of the family's 1533-position model. The record is from RNAcentral.
UACGGAGGGUGCAAGCGUUAUCCGGAUUCACUGGGUUUAAAGGGUGCGUAGGUGGGUUGGUAAGUCAGUGGUGAAAUCCCCGAGCUUAACUUGGGAACUGCCAUUGAUACUGGCAAUCUAGAGUCCGGAAGAGGUUAGUGGAAUUCCCAGUGUAGAGGUGAAAUUCGUAGAUAUUGGGAAGAACACCAGUGGCGAAGGCGGCUAACUGGUCCGGUACUGACGCUGAGGUGCGAAAGCGUGGGGAGCAAACAGG